AUUGAACGCUGGCGGCAGGCUUAACACAUGCAAGUCGAGCGGGGUGAUGGUGCUUGCACUAUCACUUAGCGGCGGACGGGUGAGUAAUGCUUAGGAAUCUACCUUUAGCUAGGGGACAACAGUCAGAAAUGACUGCUAAUACCGUAUACGACCGAGGCGCAAGCCCGGUGAAAGCUUUAGCGACGAAAGAUGAGCCUAUGCCUGAUUAGCUAGUUGGUGAGGUAGAAGCUCACCAAGGCAAUGAUCAGUAGCUGGUCUGAGAGGAUGAUCAGCCACCCUGGAACUGAGACACGGUCCAGACUCCUACGGGAGGCAGCAGUGGGGAAUAUUGGACAAUGGGCGAAAGCCUGAUCCAGCCAUGCCGCGUGAGUGAUGAAGGCCUUCGGGUUGUAAAGCUCUUUAGUUGGGGAAGAUAAUGACGGUACCCAAAGAAUAAGUCACGGCAAACUCUGUGCCAGCCGCCGCCGUAA
This 470-nucleotide ribosomal RNA is filed under the name uncultured bacterium. Its description in RNAcentral is "partial 16S ribosomal RNA". It matches the Rfam family "Bacterial small subunit ribosomal RNA", at positions 30 to 523 of the family's 1533-position model. The record is from RNAcentral.